AGGAAGUAUUUUCCUUUUUAUUAUUAUGAUGACUGUGAGUGCAUUUGGCUCGAGAUUGUGCAACUGAUAUUUCAUAUUUGUUGUACGUCGGUGUGGAUAAACUCAAGCUACCUUUUUUUCUUAUGUCUGACU
This 132-nucleotide small nucleolar RNA is filed under the name Vanderwaltozyma polyspora DSM 70294. The record is from RNAcentral. Lineage: Eukaryota; Fungi; Ascomycota; Saccharomycetes; Saccharomycetales; Saccharomycetaceae.